GCUGGCGGCAUGCCUAAUACAUGCAAGUCGAACGCUCCUAGCAAUAGGGGAGUGGCGGACGGGUGAGUAACGCGUGGGAACCUGCCCUUGAGUGCGGGAUAACCGAGGGAAACUUCGGCUAAUACCGCAUGCGCCCCGGGCAACUGGGGGAAAGAUUUAUCGCUCGAGGAGGGGCCCGCGUCGGAUUAGCUAGUUGGUGGGGUAAUGGCCUACCAAGGCGAUGAUCCGUAGCUGGUCUGAGAGGAUGAUCAGCCACACUGGGACUGAGACACGGCCCAGACUCCUACGGGAGGCAGCAGUAGGGAAUAUUGGACAAUGGGGGCAACCCUGAUCCAGCAAUGCCGCGUGAGUGAUGAAGGCCUUAGGGUUGUAAAGCUCUUUCGCGCGCGACGAUGAUGACGGUAGCGCGAGAAGAAGCCCCGGCUAACUUCGUGCCAGCAGCCGCGGUAAUACGAAGGGGGCGAGCGUUGUUCGGAAUUACUGGGCGUAAAGGGCGCGCAGGCGGCUCU
RNAcentral lists this ribosomal RNA (509 nucleotides) under uncultured soil bacterium. Its description in RNAcentral is "bacterial SSU rRNA". It matches the Rfam family "Bacterial small subunit ribosomal RNA", at positions 35 to 582 of the family's 1533-position model. The record is from RNAcentral.